Molecule: long non-coding RNA, 1889 nt
Organism: Thunnus maccoyii (southern bluefin tuna)
Lineage: Eukaryota; Metazoa; Chordata; Actinopteri; Scombriformes; Scombridae
Exons: 3
Source: RefSeq, a predicted model, not a curated record
UUUAUGGCAGGGCUAAUCAUGAUGAGUGGCAGCUGGUUGCUUGACUCCCGCACACCUGUCUCUACUCCUGCAAUUAGACACACACACACAGACAGACAAGGAGGGGGAGAGAGCAAGAGAGAGAGAGAGAGAGAGAGAGAGAGUGGCUGCAGGCUAGAUGGAGGGGCAGGCAGAGGUGGAGGGCAUGACACUUGUAGUGUCAUCAGCUGCAGAGACUGAUUCUUCUUACACAUCCAUCAACACUGAGACCGUAUCAAUACGAAAUCUUGCCAAGGCAUUACUGUGCAGUUUUGGAUGAUAAACUUGUGUCAGACCUUCAUGCAGAUGCCAUGCUGAUCAGCAGUGUUUACAGGAAGUGAAUUGGCAGUCACCUAUGACUCAGCAGGAUUCCUGGCUGAUGAAUGAGCCAUGAGUCAGGUCUGUACUCCAGUGCAUGAGUGGGCUCAGGUGUUUGGCUUGGUUGUGCAUGAGAACACGAUUUAUUUAACAAUAUAUUCCCAUAAAUGUACAAUUUUGAUAUUUGACAUAUGACUAGACACCAAAAGCCUAGAUUAUUCUGUAUUAGUACUUUGAAAUUUUGUUUUUCUGAUAAUGGUUUGAUGUUGUUUAAAAUCAAUCUUUGAUCAAAUUCAUUGUAUCAGAAAUGGCUGCCACUUUUAGAAUUUGUCAAUUUGCAAAAAACUACUAUGCUGAAAUUAUUUAAAUACAAAAUAUGUAAGCUCCUUGACAAAAUACAGUGACAUAUGUCCUUAAAACUAAUAUUCACUGUUAAAUGACCAAGACCAGUGGUCCUUCAUCAUGACUGUCAGAAGCUCUUUUACUUUGAAAGCCCUCAAUCAAAAGGGACUUGGUAAAAAAAAGUCACAUGUCAUACAGAGAACAUGCUAAGAAAGCAGAAGUGUUGUACAUGUUUGGGACUCUGCUCAUGCAGUCAAACUGAAAUGUGAAUGACAGAAACUAUUUAUGCAAACCAUUUCUACAUCCAAUCUAGACUCCAAUCAGUUUAUCUCCCAGCCGCUCCUCACGCUGACAACUUGUUCCUCUUAUCUCCUCGACACUCAAUCUCCUGCUUCUCUAGUGGCUGGAGCAAAAAAGGCUUACCAAUUUACAUCCAGGACAGUGCUCAUCAGUUAGCUUGUUUUGAUCACUGCACUAGAUCAUUGUGACUUGCAAAAGAACCAAAUCUCUGAAAACGGCUUCUAGUAAAAGUGAAAUACACCACAGAGAGAGUUAUUUGGCUUUUGAGACAUUUCAGAACUGGUGAUAUACACUAAUAUUAACUCGAGCCCUCGUUUGUUGCCCUGACAUUGUGUUAGUCUGUGUAUAUGAGCACUAUAUGAGCGCACUUGUUGUGCAUUUCACCUGAAGCGAUGAACAGUUUUUUGGAAAGUCACAGUGUCUGUGCUCUCUCUCUCGCUACAAGAUCUCUCCAUCCCCCGAGCAGAUGCCUCAUAAUGCAAUUGUUAGUCAGGCAGCAUCCGGCACAUUACUUACUCCAUUAGUUGCAGUCAGACAGAAAGAUACAUGGAAUUUUCCAAAUUUUAUCAGAGAAAAAAAGAGUAAAAGUUUAGUAACAAUAAAUGAUGGAGAUGGUAAAGGAGAGAGUUUGGAGGCAGAGAGGAAGCAGAAAACAGGAAAUACAGUGAGUGGUUUGGGAGAGGGGUAAUUACAGAUUGCGUUUAGCAGGGAACGGAAAUUGCUUCUGCGAUAUUUUCAAGUUCUGGUUUGUGCAGAGAAUGAAAUUCAAAAACACAUUUUCAUGUAAAUUCUAUAAAACUGGAGAACAGCAUAAUUUGGCUGCCUUUAACUAGAUGAAUCUGUAUAUAUAAUGUAAUACAUAGCCUACCUGUUUUUUUUUUCUGUAUGUAAUUAUCCAAAACCUUAAAACA